Molecule: ribosomal RNA, 393 nt
Filed under: uncultured bacterium
Lineage: Bacteria
Description: partial 16S ribosomal RNA
Rfam family: Bacterial small subunit ribosomal RNA
Source: RNAcentral
AUACGGAGGAUGCGAGCGUUAUCCGGAUUUAUUGGGUUUAAAGGGUGCGCAGGCUGUGCGUUAAGUCAGGGGUGAAAUGCCGUCGCUCAACGACGGAGCUGCCCUUGAUACUGGCGUGCUGGAGUACGGAUGCCGUUGGAGGAAUGAGUGGUGUAGCGGUGAAAUGCUUAGAUAUCACUCAGAACACCGAUUGCGAAGGCAUCUGACGAAUCCGUCACUGACGCUGAGGCACGAAAGCGUGGGGAUAGAACAGGAUUAGAUACCCUGGUAUUCCACGCCGUAAACGAUGAUGACUAACCGUCGGCGAUAGACAGCCGGUGGCCAAGCGAAAGCGAUAAGUCAUCCACCUGGGGAGUACGUCGGCAACGAUGAAACUCAAAGGAAUUGACGGGG